GGUGCUGUUGGGAGCAGUGAAAAGGCCACA
Molecule: non-coding RNA, 30 nt
Filed under: Homo sapiens (human)
Lineage: Eukaryota; Metazoa; Chordata; Mammalia; Primates; Hominidae
Source: RNAcentral